Molecule: ribosomal RNA, 1962 nt
Filed under: Mycobacterium sp. 1554424.7
Lineage: Bacteria; Bacillati; Actinomycetota; Actinomycetes; Mycobacteriales; Mycobacteriaceae
Description: bacterial LSU rRNA
Rfam family: Bacterial large subunit ribosomal RNA
Source: RNAcentral
UAAGGUUAAGUUAAUAAGGGCGCACGGUGGAUGCCUUGGCACUAGGAGCCGAAGAAGGACGUGACAAACGACGAUAUGCCUUGGGUAGCUGUAAGUAAGCGAUGAUCCAGGGAUUUCCGAAUGGGGGAACCCAACAGGUACUACCUGUUACCCAUAUCUGUUAAGGAUGUGAGGAGGAAGACGCAGUGAACUGAAACAUCUAAGUAGCUGCAGGAAGAGAAAGCAAAAGCGAUUGCCUUAGUAGCGGCGAGCGAAACGGCAGGAGGGCAAACCGAAGAGUUUACUCUUCGGGGUUGUAGGACUGCAAUGUGGACUCAAAGAUUAUAGAAGAAUGAUUUGGGAAGAUCAGCCAAAGAGAGUAAUAGCCUCGUAUUUAAAAUAGUCUUUGUACCUAGCAGUAUCCUGAGUACGGCGGGACACGUGAAAUCCCGUCGGAAUCUGGGAGGACCAUCUCCCAACCCUAAAUACUCCCUAGUGACCGAUAGUGAACCAGUACCGUGAGGGAAAGGUGAAAAGCACCCCGGGAGGGGAGUGAAAUAGAACCUGAAACCGUGUGCCUACAACAAGUUCGAGCCCGUUAAUGGGUGAGAGCGUGCCUUUUGUAGAAUGAACCGGCGAGUUACGUUAUGAUGCGAGGUUAAGUUGAAGAGACGGAGCCGUAGGGAAACCGAGUCUGAAUAGGGCGCCUUAGUAUCAUGACGUAGACCCGAAACCAUGUGACCUACCCAUGAGCAGGUUGAAGGUGCGGUAAGACGCACUGGAGGACCGAACCAGGGCACGUUGAAAAGUGCUUGGAUGACUUGUGGGUAGCGGAGAAAUUCCAAACGAACUUGGAGAUAGCUGGUUCUCUCCGAAAUAGCUUUAGGGCUAGCGUCGACAUUAAGAUUCUUGGAGGUAGAGCACUGUUUGGGUGAGGGGUCCAUCCCGGAUUACCAAUCUCAGAUAAACUCCGAAUGCCAAUGAAUUAUGGUCGGCAGUCAGACUGCGAGUGCUAAGAUCCGUAGUCGAAAGGGAAACAGCCCAGACCACCAGCUAAGGUCCCAAAAUAAUUGUUAAGUGGAAAAGGAUGUGGGGUUGCACAGACAACUAGGAUGUUAGCUUAGAAGCAGCUAUUCAUUCAAAGAGUGCGUAAUAGCUCACUAGUCGAGUGACCCUGCGCCGAAAAUGUACCGGGGCUAAAACAAUUUACCGAAGCUGUGGAUACCUUUAUAGGUAUGGUAGGAGAGCGUUCUAUGUGUGAAGAAGGUGUACCGUGAGGAGUGCUGGAACGCAUAGAAGUGAGAAUGCCGGUAUGAGUAGCGAAAGACAGGUGAGAAUCCUGUCCACCGUAAGACUAAGGUUUCCAGGGGAAGGCUCGUCCGCCCUGGGUUAGUCGGGACCUAAGGAGAGACCGAAAGGUGUAUCCGAUGGACAACAGGUUGAUAUUCCUGUACUAGAGUAUGUAGUGAUGGAGGGACGCAGUAGGCUAACUAAAGCAGACGAUUGGAAGUGUCUGUCUAAGCAGUGAGGUGUGAACUGAGUUAAAUGCUUAGUUCUAUAACAUUGAGCUGUGAUGGGGAGCGAAGUUUAGUAGCGAAGUUAGUGACGUCACACUGCCAAGAAAAGCUUCUAGCGUUUAAACAUACUCUACCCGUACCGCAAACCGACACAGGUAGUCGAGGCGAGUAGCCUCAGGUGAGCGAGAGAACUCUCGUUAAGGAACUCGGCAAAAUGACCCCGUAACUUCGGGAGAAGGGGUGCUGACUUUAAGUCAGCCGCAGUGAAUAGGCCCAAGCAACUGUUUAUCAAAAACACAGCUCUCUGCUAAAUCGUAAGAUGAUGUAUAGGGGGUGACGCCUGCCCGGUGCUGGAAGGUUAAGAGGAGUGCUUAGCGCAAGCGAAGGUAUGAAUUGAAGCCCCAGUAAACGGCGGCCGUAACUAUAACGGUCCUAAGGUAGCGAAAUUCCUUGUCGGGUAAGUUCC